RNAcentral lists this unclassified non-coding RNA (479 nucleotides) under Hevea brasiliensis (rubber tree). Lineage: Eukaryota; Viridiplantae; Streptophyta; Magnoliopsida; Malpighiales; Euphorbiaceae. The record is from RNAcentral.
UUGUUGCGAUGAUAUGCAGAGCUGUUGUGUGGGUCUCUUUUGUCCUUGCUAUUUGUUUGGAAAGAAUGCAGAGUUUUUGGGCUCUGGAACUUUGAUUGGCUCAUGCAUGACCCAUUUUAUUUUGUGGGCUCUUGUCAAUACUGUAUGUUGUUGCAUGACUGGCAUUUUGUUGGGAUUACCUGGAUGCUUUGUUGCAUGUUAUGCCUGUGGUUACCGCAGGGCACUGCGUGAAAAGUAUAAUUUGCCGGAAGCACCAUGUGGCGACUUCACUACACAUUUUUUCUGCCACUUAUGUGCUAAUUGCCAAGAAUACAGAGAGAUUCGUGAAAGGAAUUGCAACUCUAAUUCUGCUGAUGUUAAGCUGCCAGUGGUCACAGCUCCUUCAGUUCAGAUAAUGGAGUCGAAUAAUAUUUCAGAAUAAUACUAUUGCUGCUGGAAACUUGUGGUAGGACAAACAGAUGAUUGUUGCUGUGCUUGGC